UCUAGAGUGUGUAGACAAAAUCUAUAAUAAUAUAAGAGAAAAAAAAACAAAUAACGCUUUAAAAUUUCAUAUCGUAAUCAUUAUCAAUUUUGUAGAGUAGGAGAUAUUGUUAUAAUUCAUUGUUUUUGAAAAGAGAAAAUCUUCAUAGUAAUAUUUGGCAACCGAAAGUUACAAACCAUCGAUCAUCAAGAGGAAGAUACAAUCAAUAAACCUGUACCAACCAUCUGCUACAUCUCUACCAUAUAAAUCUAUAACGACUAAUACAAAAUGAAAGUUCCAAAUCGGUGUUGUUACUGUUGCCUUCUCAUUUGCAUAACUGCUAAUUAUCAUUAGAGAGAAACAUGAGAGAAGACGAAGCCUGCAUAUGACUAAUGUUACUUUGGAUCCCACAGCUUAUUUUCUUAAUCUUAGCCUCAAAUUCCUUGAGUUCCUCAAGCGUAAGCUCCUCAAUGGGCUUAUUGAACUUAUCCUGUUCAGCAGAUUCAAGCCACUUGUGAAGAUCUUCACCAUGUUUCUUCUCAGCUUCAGCUUCUUCAGUAAUCGAGUUGAGGCGUUUACAUAUCUUCUUCUCCUGUCUAGCUCUAUUGCCUCUACUAUAGCCUGAUGUUUCACAGCUAUCUCCUUCUUCUUCUUCUUCGAAUUCAUUCUUAAACCGUUCUGCAAUCACAUCAAAAUUCGGUUUCCCGAAGGAAUACGGUUUGUUUCCUGGAGAAAAGACAACAAUACCAACCUCCGCGUUGCACAGAGUCGCAAGCUCGCUCGCUUUCUUGAACAAACCCAGCCUACGUUUUGAGAAGGUAACUUGCUUCGUGUUUGUGUCUUGCACUUUCUCCAUCUUAAUCUUUCUCCUACCCAUUUCUUUUUUUUUGUGUGAAAUGUUUUGAGUGAUUGUAAUCUAUGUUUGUGUAUAUAAGAAGAAGAUUGUAUUUCUUUAUGUAUUUAUAGUAAUGAAUGUGGAGAAAGUUGUUAUUGAACCUCAUCAUCAUAUAUGUAUAUUUUUAGUAAACUUUUGUUUUUGCAUAUAUAUACAUAUUUAGUAACUCCACUUUGAAAAUCUUGCAUUACCUUAUGAGAGCAUUGAAUAUUUUCCAUGUAUUUAAUCAAUAUUCAUAGAUAUUUAACUAUUAUUAGUAUUAUCUUACUAUUAGACCUCUUAUUAAAUGGUAGUUUGAAUUACAAGGAGAACUUUACCAAGUUAAUAAACAAAAUUUCUUCUUUACCAAAAUAGUUUAUUUCCACCCAACAAACAAUAAUAGUAGUUUGACA
Molecule: small RNA, 1266 nt
Filed under: Arabidopsis thaliana (thale cress)
Lineage: Eukaryota; Viridiplantae; Streptophyta; Magnoliopsida; Brassicales; Brassicaceae
Description: ATSL133430
Source: RNAcentral